UACGUAGGGGGCGAGCGUUGUCCGGAGUUACUGGGCGUAAAGCGCACGCAGGCGGUCUGCUAAGUUUGGAGUGACAGUUGGUGGCUUAACUGCCAAAGUGCUUCGAAAACUGACAGACUUGAGGGCUUCAGAGGGACACGGAAUUCCGGGUGGAGUGGUGAAAUGCGUAGAGAUCCGGAGGAACACCAAAGGCGAAGGCGGUGUCCUGGGGAGUACCUGACGCUCAGGUGCGAAAGCCAGGGGAGCGAACGGG
This 253-nucleotide ribosomal RNA is filed under the name uncultured bacterium. RNAcentral describes it as "partial 16S ribosomal RNA". It matches the Rfam family "Bacterial small subunit ribosomal RNA", at positions 524 to 776 of the family's 1533-position model. The record is from RNAcentral.